This 402-nucleotide ribosomal RNA is filed under the name uncultured bacterium. RNAcentral describes it as "bacterial SSU rRNA". It matches the Rfam family "Bacterial small subunit ribosomal RNA", at positions 362 to 777 of the family's 1533-position model. The record is from RNAcentral.
UAUUGGGCAAUGGAGGAAACUCUGACCCAGCAAUGCCGCGCGAAUGAAGAAGGUCUUCGGAUUGUAAAGUUCUCUAGCCAGGGAAGAAAAAAAUGACGGUACCUGAAGAAUAAGCCCCGGCUAACUACGUGCCAGCAGCCGCGGUAAUACGUAGGGAGCAAGCGUUGUUCGGAAUGACUGGGCGUAAAGGGUGCGUAGGCGGUUGUACAAGUUAGAAGUGAAAUACCCAGGGCUUAACUCGGGUGCUGCUUCUAAAACUGUAUGACUUGAGUGCAGUAGAGGUUAGUGGAAUUCCUAGUGUAGCGGUGGAAUGCGUAGAUAUUAGGAGGAACACCAGAGGCGAAGGCGGCUAACUGGACUGCAACUGACGCUGAGGCACGAAAGUGUGGGGAGCAAACAGGA